AUGAACUACCGCUUUCAGAACCUGCUGGGCGCGCCGUACCGCGGCGGCGACGCCGUCUUCGCGGGGGACUCCUCGGUGCUCCUCUCCGCGGUGGGGAACCGCGUGGCGACCACCGACCUCGCCGCCUCCACCUCCCUCACCCUCCCCUUCGAGUCCUCCGCCAACAUCGCCCGCCUCGCCACCUCCCCCUCGGGCGACUUCCUCCUCGCCUGCGACGACAAGGGCCGCGCGCUCUACGCCAACCUCCACCGCCGCGCCGUCCUCCACCGCGUCUCCUUCAAGGCCGCCCCCUCCGCCGUCCGCUUCAGCCCCGACGGCGAGCUCAUCGCCGUCGCCGUCGGGAAGCUCGUCCAGAUCUGGCGCUCCCCCUCCUUCCGCAAGGAGUUCUUCCCCUUCCACCUCCUCCGCACCUUCCCCGGCUUCGCCGCCGGGGUCACCUCCUUCGACUGGUCCCCUGACUCCGCCUCCCUCCUCGUCGCCUGCAAGGACCUCACCGCCCGCCUCUUGCCCGUCAAGCGGGGCACCGGGAACAAGCCCUUUCUCUUCCUCGGCCAUCGCGCGGCUGUCGUCGGCGCCUUCUUCGCCACCGAUAAGAAGACUGGCAAAGUCCACGGGGUCUACACGGUUUCAAAGGACGGAGCUAUCUUUACAUGGAAUUUGGUGGAGGGCAAUGAUGCUGCAUCUCCACCUUCACCCGGGACACCGGAGCAGGAAUCAGAACAGAAUGGUGAGCCGGAAUUGGAUGCUGGGAGCAGGAAGAGGAAGAGUUUGGGAGAGCUGGAAGAGCCCAGCACUACUCCACUUCAUUUGGCAAAGUGGGAGUUGCAAAAAAAGAAUUUCUUCAUGCAGGCACCUGCUAAGUUGACAGCCUGUGAUUACCACCGGGAUCUUGACAUGGUGGUGGUUGGGUUUUCUAACGGGGUAUUUGGGCUGUACCAGAUGCCGGACUUUGUGUGCCACUGCCAGUUGUCAAUAUCAAGGGAGAAGAUCACUACUGCUAUUUUCAACAGCUUGGGGAAUUGGCUAGUUUUUGGGUGUGCCAAGCUUGGGCAACUGCUGGUGUGGGAGUGGCGGUCAGAGACCUACAUUUUGAAGCAGCAGGGUCACUACUUUGAUGUGAACUGCAUUGCAUACUCACCAGAUUCUCAGUUAAUUGCUACUGGAGCUGAUGAUAACAAAGUCAAGGUCUGGACGGCUGCCACUGGGUUCUGUUUCAUAACAUUUUCCGAGCAUACAAAUGCUGUUACUGCAGUUCAUUUUAUGGCCAAUAACCAUUCUCUUCUCAGUGCCUCCCUUGAUGGGACUAUUCGAGCGUGGGAUCUGUUUCGUUAUCGUAACUUCAAGACAUUUACGACCCCUUCACCUAGACAAUUCGUUUCUUUAACGGCAGAUCAGAGUGGGGAAGUAAUUUGUGCUGGAACACUUGAUUCAUUUGAGAUUUAUGUUUGGUCAAUGAAGACUGGUCGUUUGUUGGAUGUACUCAGUGGCCACCAAGGACCAGUUCAUGGUCUAAUGUUUUCACCAAUCAGUGCUAUUUUGGCUUCAUCAUCGUGGGACAAGACCGUUCGUCUUUGGGAUGUAUUUGAGAGCAAGGGCGCUGUGGAAACGUUUCAACACUCACAUGAUGUUCUUACCUUGGCUUAUCGUCCUGACGGAAGGCAGAUUGCAUGCAGCACACUAGAUGGCCUAAUCAAUUUCUGGGAUCCUUUUGAUGGCUUAUUGAUGUAUACAAUUGAAGGUUGCAGGGAUAUUUCUGGUGGGCGCCUCAUGACAGAUAGAAGAUCCGCAGCUAAUACAAGUAUAGGAAAGUACUUCACGACGCUGUGCUAUUCUGCUGAUGGAAGCUAUAUUUUAGCAGGAGGAAACAGCAAAUAUAUAUGCAUGUACAAUAUUGGAGAACAGGUGCUGUUGCGUAGAUUCCAGAUCACUCGCAAUCUUUCAUUGGAUGGAGUUCUCGAUUUUCUGAACUCAAAAAAUAUGACCGAUGCUGGUCCACUAGAUCUAAUCGACGACGAAGAUAGUGAUGUUGAGGAUGGAAUUGAUCAACAAACAAGAGGUAGCCUGGGGCAUGGUUUACCUGGAUCCAUGGCAAAUCGUGGAAGGCCCAUAGCUCGGACAAAAUGUGUGAAAUUUGCUCCAACAGGAAGAUCUUUUGCUGCAGCGACCACUGAUGGUGUUCUGUUGUACUCGGUUGAUGAAUCAUUUAUUUUUGAUCCAACAGAUCUUGACAUUGAUGUUACUCCUGAGAAAGUGGAGGAAGCUCUUGCAGAAAACCAACAACAGAGAGCCCUUUUACUGAGCCUCCGGUUAAACGAAGACUCCUUGAUUAAGAGAUGCAUCUUCGCUGUGGAUCCAUCCAAUGUACGAGCAAUCUGCUCAUCAGUUCCCUUUAAGUAUCUUCAGAGAUUGAUCGAUGCAUUCGCUGACCUCCUGGAAAGCUGUCCCCAUCUGGAGUUCAUCCUGCUCUGGGCUCAGGAGCUUUGCAAGGUUGAUGGAAGCUACAUCCAGCAGAACUCCAGGACCUUGCUUCCUGCUCUCAAGUCGUUGCAGAAGUCUAUAACGAAACUACACCAGGAUCUGGCGGACACCUGUUCCUCCAAUGAGUACAUGCUCAAAUAUCUGAGCUCUGCUGGGACAAAGAGUUAG
This 2646-nucleotide ribosomal RNA is filed under the name Triticum aestivum (bread wheat). RNAcentral's name for it is "partial small subunit ribosomal RNA". Lineage: Eukaryota; Viridiplantae; Streptophyta; Magnoliopsida; Poales; Poaceae. The record is from RNAcentral.